Molecule: ribosomal RNA, 497 nt
Filed under: uncultured bacterium
Lineage: Bacteria
Description: partial 16S ribosomal RNA
Rfam family: Bacterial small subunit ribosomal RNA
Source: RNAcentral
GAUGAACGCUGGCGGCGUGCCUAAUACAUGCAAGUCGAGCGAACAGAUGAUGAGCUUGCUCCUCUGACGUUAGCGGCGGACGGGUGAGUAACACGUGGAUAACCUACCUAUAAGACUGGGAUAACUUCGGGAAACCGGAGCUAAUACCGGAUAAUAUAUUGAACCGCAUGGUUCAAUAGUGAAAGACGGUUUUGCUGUCACUUAUAGAUGGAUCCGCGCCGCAUUAGCUAGUUGGUAAGGUAACGGCUUACCAAGGCAACGAUGCGUAGCCGACCUGAGAGGGUGAUCGGCCACACUGGAACUGAGACACGGUCCAGACUCCUACGGGAGGCAGCAGUAGGGAAUCUUCCGCAAUGGGCGAAAGCCUGACGGAGCAACGCCGCGUGAGUGAUGAAGGUCUUCGGAUCGUAAAACUCUGUUAUUAGGGAAGAACAACUGUGUAAGUAACUAUGCACGUCUUGACGGUACCUAAUCAGAAAGCCACGGCUAACUACGUG